This is a long non-coding RNA of Canis lupus familiaris (dog), 3040 nucleotides long. RefSeq lists it as uncharacterized. The record is from RefSeq and is a predicted model, not a curated record. Lineage: Eukaryota; Metazoa; Chordata; Mammalia; Carnivora; Canidae. The transcript has 2 exons.
CAUUCAUCUGUUGAUGGGCACCUAGGUUGCUUGUAUAUCUUGGCUAUUGUAAAUAAUGGUCCUCUGCAGUGAACAUAGAGGCACAUAUAUCUUUUUUGAUAUGUACAGAUUUUUUUCAAUAAGCAUAAUGGAAAAUUUUUUGGAGAUUUGUGACAAUUUGAAAAAACUUGUAGAUGAACAGCAUAGCCUAGAAAUACCAAAAAAAAUUAAGAAAACAUUAGGUGUCAUUGUAAUAAUACAGCAUAUAAUAUAUGUAAUGUACAAAGUAUGUGUAAUCAACUAUGUUAUCAUAAAGUUUCUGGUCAAUAGUAAGCCAUGAGUGGUUAAGUUUUGGGGGAGUCAGAAGUUACCUGCGGAUUUUUGACUGGAUGGGGCGGGGGGUCAGCACCGAUAACCCUUGUGUUGUUCAAGGUUCAACUGUAUGUACUUUUUGUAAGAGACUUUCCUAAAAAGAGAAAUAAGGAAAAAGAAAUUGAAGGUAGUAACAGCAGUAUUAGACGAAUGAGAAUUUAAGGCAAAAAAGUAUUAACAGGAUCAAGGAAGGUUUUUGUUUUUUUUUAAAGGAAAAUCCACCAAGCACGUAAACAGUAAUGAACAGUGUGACAGUCAUAAAAUAAAAAGGAAAAUUGAAAAUUUUAACACAGCUCUAUCAGAAAUGAUACAACAAGCAGCCUGAAAGUUAGCAAGCUCGUCUAAUAAGGUUUAUCGAGGACCCUUCACUCAAUAAUAAGCAGAGAACACACAUUCUUUCCAAGUAGUUGAGAAACAUUUACAACAGUGAAGAUUAGCAGAUGAUAUUAUAAAUAGUUAAAAAUAAAUAAAUAAAUAAAAUACUAUAAAUAGUUGGUAGGUAUAAAUAUAAAACAUUUUUGUUUUCCAUACAUUUACUAAGACAAGAAUAAUUUAUUUAAACCAUCGUUUCUUGGUUUAAAAUACUGCUGAGAUUAUAUUAGAAUAUUGAACAAUUAGAUUUCAAGAUACAGUUAUUGGACCAGGUGAUCUCGUGGCUCCAGGGAGGCUUUGGACGGUACCACAGGUGGGAUGACAAGUAGAAGGACCGCACUCUGCCCAGGAGGUGUGCCCGGAACCAGAAAGGACGUCAGCAUCAGAGAAGGAGAACAGCUCAGGAGCAGGGGAUGGAUGAAGCCGUUUGCCAAAACUUCUGAGGAGAGCUGAAAGAUAAAAAAAAUGUCAUCGAUAAAUAAAUAGGGGCUGCAACCAAGCAUAAAGGGAGUGAGCAAGAGAGACAUUUGGGGCCAUUUCUUUGGCCCCAGUUUCUAUCUAUUUUAAGUUUAUUUUUUUAGCAAACAAAAAAAAAAUGGGGCUCCCAACUCAAGACCCUGAGAUCAAGAGUCAAGUGCUUUUCCAGCUCAGCCGGCCAGGCGCCCCGAGUUUCUAUCUUUCUAAUAUUAUACCCAAUGCAGGACAUCUGGGUUAUCCCAGACCAGUGACUCUUUUGAUUUACAUGAGUCCUAAACUUUGUUUUAAAAUUUCGAUGCAUGAUUUCUGAAGUCACACUUUUUGUUGAAAAUUUAAAGUUAGGGAUCCCUGGGUGGCGCAGCGGUUUGGCGCCUGCCUUUGGCCCAGGGUGUGAUCCUGGAAUCCUGGGAUCGAGUCCCACGUCAGGCUCCCGGUGCAUGGAGCCUGCUUCUCCCUCUGCCUAUGUCUCUGCCUCUCUCUCUCUCUCUGUGUGACUAUCAUAAAUAAAUAAAAAUUAAAAAAAAGAAAAUUUAAAAUUAGAAAAUUUCUAGCAUGUAGAAACAUGCUAUUCUGGGAGCUUUGCUUCUUUUUGAGUUGGAGAGCUUUUUCCAGCAGACAUAAGAGUGAAGGAAUGCGGUGUGCUGCCCUCGGCCUAUGAAAGGAGGCUUGUGUCCUCCGGCAGCGACGUCUCAGAGCCCCGGUCCAGAGGGAACAGACCCAGACUCUGGGCCAACACGGCGUGAAUGCACACUCAGAGACACGGAGGGCGGAGAGCAGGAAGGCCUUGUUUAAACUGUGGUUGCGGUGAAAAUCUUUGGAGGAAGAAGAAUUCACGAUGAAUUUACUAAGAGCAUUUGUCUAAAAGGGUAAGAUUCGCGAUUGCGAUAUGAACCUGAGUGACCCUGGGAAUGAGCAGGACGUAGGGCACGAGAACGAAUCAUCACCCUCCUUGUGGAUUGGCCCGGGUGUUUGUAACCUGGGGUACCUGUGACACUGCCCCUUGCCAGUUCACUCUGGAGGUUCUCAUGGUGAAAAUUCUCUGGAUGAGCAAGGAUUCUCUAUAAAAGGGAAAAAGAGCAAGAUCUCCUUCAAGUGUCAGUAUCUUUAUCAAAUGAACACUUGCCACGCCUUCCUCAAGGAUGUCGUUUAGUGACUCUUCAUGAAAUCGGCUUGUGCGGCGGCGGGGCCGGUGGCUCACCUGGAGGCCACGGUGCUGGGGGGCGAGCAGGGCGCCGGCCGGGCUGCCAGGUACCACCGCAGCCGCGGGCGUCAGGGACAGCUGGUCGCUGUGGGUGUCCCCAGGGCCCCGCUGCAGGUUCCCCAGGCCACACCUCGUGAAGAGCUGCCCUGGGCUUCCAGGGUGGCUGGUGGCGGCCCCGGGGAGCUCAAGGCCCAGGACGGGAGGCCGGUGGACCAGCAGGCGAGGUGACUCCAGGGUGUGAAGAGGAGACCGGGGGGGCCGAGCCGGGUGGUGAGGGAGGCAGGAGGGGCUGCUUGACCUCUGACCCGAGGGCUCCAGGUAGACAGGUCUGGCUUGCACAGCCCCGGGGAGGGGCAGUCUGACCCGGAUUCCUUCGGGAGGGACUCCGUGGGGUCGCUGGGAGCCACAACAGUGCGAGGGGCCUGGUGGAGCAGCCGGUGAGCAGUGGCUCCUGGGUUUGCCUCGGGUCCUGAUCUGGGGGUUGUGGGUUCCAGGCCCGCGUGGGACUCAGCGCUCAGUGCAGAGUCUGCUUGAGAUUCUCUCUCCCUGUCCCCUGCCCUCUGGCUCAUGUGCUCACACGCGCCCUCUCUCUCUCUCAAAUAAACAAAUUAUUAAAAAAUGAUAGUACUAAGUACUAUA